CUCUGCAGACCCGCUGUUCAACCCAUGCGGGACCCAUUGAUAAUGAGUCAGCCGUCACUCUGUGAGUAGCCUACGCUUCAGUCCAUCGCACUCUUCCUCUCUCCCUCUCUCUCUCUAUGUCUUUUUGU
Etheostoma cragini (Arkansas darter) is the source of this 128-nucleotide long non-coding RNA. RefSeq lists it as uncharacterized. Lineage: Eukaryota; Metazoa; Chordata; Actinopteri; Perciformes; Percidae. The transcript has 3 exons. The record is from RefSeq and is a predicted model, not a curated record.